RNAcentral lists this ribosomal RNA (365 nucleotides) under uncultured Bacteroidota bacterium. Its description in RNAcentral is "bacterial SSU rRNA". It matches the Rfam family "Bacterial small subunit ribosomal RNA", at positions 1018 to 1382 of the family's 1533-position model. Lineage: Bacteria; Pseudomonadati; Bacteroidota. The record is from RNAcentral.
CGGGAAGCGAGCGUACACAGGUGCUGCAUGGCUGUCGUCAGCUCGUGCCGUGAGGUGUCGGGUUAAGUCCCAUAACGAGCGCAACCCCUAUCAUUAGUUGCCAUCAGGUCAAGCUGGGGACUCUAAUGAAACUGCCUACGCAAGUAGUGAGGAAGGUGGGGAUGACGUCAAAUCAGCACGGCCCUUACGUCCAGGGCUACACACGUGCUACAAUGGCCGGUACAGAGCGCAGCGAGGCCGCGAGGCGGAGCGAAUCGCUUAAAGCCGGUCCCAGUACGGAUUGGAGUCUGCAACCCGACUCCAUGAAGUUGGAAUCGCUAGUAAUCGCGCAUCAGCAUGGCGCGGUGAAUACGUUCCCGGGCCUU